GAAGGUAUAGCUCAGUGGUAGAGUGCCUGCCUAGCACGCGUAAGGUCCUGGGUUCAAUCCCCAGUGCCUCCA
Molecule: transfer RNA, 72 nt
Filed under: Camelus ferus (Wild Bactrian camel)
Lineage: Eukaryota; Metazoa; Chordata; Mammalia; Artiodactyla; Camelidae
Rfam family: tRNA
About the family: Transfer RNA (tRNA) molecules are approximately 80 nucleotides in length. Their secondary structure includes four short double-helical elements and three loops (D, anti-codon, and T loops). Further hydrogen bonds mediate the characteristic L-shaped molecular structure. tRNAs have two regions of fundamental functional importance: the anti-codon, which is responsible for specific mRNA codon recognition, and the 3' end, to which the tRNAs corresponding amino acid is attached (by aminoacyl-tRNA synthetases). tRNAs cope with the degeneracy of the genetic code in two manners: having more than one tRNA (with a specific anti-codon) for a particular amino acid; and 'wobble' base-pairing, i.e. permitting non-standard base-pairing at the 3rd anti-codon position.
Source: Rfam by way of RNAcentral